RNAcentral lists this ribosomal RNA (442 nucleotides) under uncultured bacterium. RNAcentral's name for it is "bacterial SSU rRNA". It matches the Rfam family "Bacterial small subunit ribosomal RNA", at positions 355 to 787 of the family's 1533-position model. The record is from RNAcentral.
UAGGGAAUCUUCCACAAUGGACGCAAGUCUGAUGGAGCAACGCCGCGUGAGUGAAGAAGGUUUUCGGAUCGUAAAGCUUUGUUGUUGGUGAAGAAGGAUAGAGGCAGUAACUGGUCUUUAUUUGACGGUAAUCAACCAGAAAGUCACGGCUAACUACGUGCCAGCAGCCGCGGUAAUACGUAGGUGGCAAGCGUUGUCCGGAUUUAUUGGGCGUAAAGCGAGCGCAGGCGGAAUGAUAAGUCUGAUGUGAAAGCCCACGGCUCAACCGUGGAACUGCAUCGGAAACUGUCAUUCUUGAGUGCAGAAGAGGAGAGUGGAAUUCCAUGUGUAGCGGUGGAAUGCGUAGAUAUCACGCAGAACUCCGAUUGCGAAGGCAGCAUACCGGCGCUCAACUGACGCUGAGGGCACGAAAGCGUGGGGGAUCGAACAGGAUUAGAUACCC